This is a non-coding RNA of Pogona vitticeps (central bearded dragon), 487 nucleotides long. The record is from RefSeq and is a predicted model, not a curated record. NCBI's taxonomy places the organism in Eukaryota, Metazoa, Chordata, Lepidosauria, Squamata, Agamidae.
AAGAGGCCAGGGCUCCUGUACCUUGAACAGUUCAGGGAAUUUCAGCAGGUGUAGCUUCUCAAGCAAGCUGCUACAUCUGCAGAAAUGCCCUCCACCACACAAUUGUUCAAGGUACAGGAGCCCUGUCCUCUUUCUCAUGCAGCCAUCCAUCUUUAUUGGGUUUUUUUUCUUCUUCUCAUAGUACUCCCCAUAAAGAUUUGCCAGGCUCUCUUUUAGAACAUUCAGGUUAAUCCCGAGAGCAAGACAGUGGAGGGACCUUCAUGAUUGUACUUACACUGUUUAGGCGCUUUUAAUGUCGACCUGGCCGGUUCUUGGCCGAGACAGGAAGCAACCCAACAAGACUUCCAGUGGAACAGAGAAAAGCAGAUGGAGAAACGCAAGUGCAGUGAAUAAGUUAAAUGAACAUAACAGCCAAGGGCUGAAGCCAGUCAUUUCCCUCAAGAGAACAAGAACAAUUCUGUGGCUUUAUUGGGGCUUGUAAUUAACA